RNAcentral lists this ribosomal RNA (309 nucleotides) under uncultured Fusibacter sp. Its description in RNAcentral is "bacterial SSU rRNA". It matches the Rfam family "Bacterial small subunit ribosomal RNA", at positions 1072 to 1382 of the family's 1533-position model. Lineage: Bacteria; Bacillati; Bacillota; Clostridia; Eubacteriales; Fusibacteraceae. The record is from RNAcentral.
AUGUUGGGUUAAGUCCCGCAACGAGCGCAACCCUUGUGUUUAGUGCAAACAGGUCAAGCUGUGCACUCUAGACAGACUGCCGUGGACAACACGGAGGAAGGUGGGGAUGACGUCAAAUCAUCAUGCCCUUAUGAUCUGGGCUACACACGUGCUACAAUGGCCGGUACAACGGGCAGCGAAGGAGCGAUCCGGAGCGAAUCCUAAAAAGCCGGUCCCAGUUCGGAUUGCAGGCUGAAACUCGCCUACAUGAAGUUGGAGUUGCUAGUAAUCGCGAAUCAGAAUGUCGCGGUGAAUGCGUUCCCGGGUCUU